UUAAGAAAAGCGAAUAAAAGCAGUCGAUCUGCUGGUUCAUAGCGAAACAAAUGGAUUGCUCCACCAUGGUGAGUGGGACAGUGCUUGAGGUCAAUCUGCUUAAAAAAAGAGCAAUCAGGAAAUGCUGCGUGAGGAUUAAAGUUGUCGUCGUGUCUUGAACAAACUGCACAGCAAAGACACCAGACAUCGCUUGGCCCCAUACAUCAGGAGGGGUUUGGACUAAGCCAAAACAUUGUUUUGCAAGCACCAGUGUGUCAGAAGAUAAACAGAAGCUGCCAGGGGCAGUGUCCUGCCCUGCGGAACACAUUGACAACAGGCUGGCUCUCGCUACAUACUCCAGGUAUUUUUGUGUUAAGAAAGACAGGCUUUGAGUACAAACUACAUUAGGCUUCUGUGACUUGGCUGCAAAAUUUUCCUAAGCUGUUGUGUUCCCAGAGCUUAUACAGAAUUGCAAUGGCAAUAUAAUAGAAAGGAGAAAUUAGUACCAUUGGAUGAAACAAUUCUGUAUUUUCAGGUAUUAUAUUUCAUGGUCAUAAAGCUUCAGUGUGCUUCAAAUGUUCAUGAAGAAACUGCAUCUGACUUGGGGAAAACAAAGGUGAUUUCAGCCCCUGUGUAAGGGGAUUGCAGAAAUAAAUUACUACAUAAAAAUCA
RNAcentral lists this long non-coding RNA (651 nucleotides) under Anser brachyrhynchus (Pink-footed goose). Its description in RNAcentral is "lncRNA (ENSABRG00000017821.1)". Lineage: Eukaryota; Metazoa; Chordata; Aves; Anseriformes; Anatidae. The record is from RNAcentral.